Molecule: ribosomal RNA, 570 nt
Filed under: uncultured cyanobacterium
Lineage: Bacteria; Bacillati; Cyanobacteriota
Description: bacterial SSU rRNA
Rfam family: Bacterial small subunit ribosomal RNA
Source: RNAcentral
UGACGGAGCAUGCCGCGUGGAGGACGAAGGCCUGUGGGUUGUAAACUCCUUUUCUCAGAAAAGAAUUUAUGACGGUAUCUGAGGAAUAAGCAUCGGCUAACUCCGUGCCAGCAGCCGCGGUAAUACGGAGGAUGCAAGCGUUAUCCGGAAUGAUUGGGCGUAAAGCGUCUGUAGGUGGGUUGUAAAGUCUUCUGUUAAAGAUCGGGGCUUAACCCAGUUUAAGCAGUGGAAACUUAUAACCUAGAGUACGGUAGGGGCAGAGGGAAUUCCCGGUGUAGCGGUGAAAUGCGUAGAUAUCGGGAAGAACACCGACGGCGAAAGCACUCUGCUGGGCCGAAACUGACACUGAGAGACGAAAGCUAGGGGAGCAAAAGGGAUUAGAUACCCCUGUAGUCCUAGCCGUAAACGAUGGAUACUAAGUGCUGUGCGUCUGGUUUGCUUUGUUUACUUUAGCUUCUGUUAGAGUAAACAAAACAAAGUAGAAAAAAAACGUCCAGUAUUGUAGCUAACGCGUGAAGUAUCCCGCCUGGGGAGUAUGCUCGCAAGAGUGAAACUCAAAGGAAUUGACGG